This 253-nucleotide ribosomal RNA is filed under the name uncultured bacterium. Its description in RNAcentral is "partial 16S ribosomal RNA". It matches the Rfam family "Bacterial small subunit ribosomal RNA", at positions 524 to 776 of the family's 1533-position model. The record is from RNAcentral.
UACGGAGGGUGCAAGCGUUGUUCGGAAUCAUUGGGCGUAAAGCGCGUGUAGGCGGUCUUAUAAGUCUGGUGUGAAAGCCCGGGGCUCAACCCCGGAAGUGCACUGGAUACUGUUUGACUAGAGGACGGGAGAGGGAAGUGGAAUUCCAGGUGUAGGGGUGAAAUCCGUAGAUAUCUGGAGGAACAUCGGAAGCGAAGGCGGCUUCCUGGCCCGUAACUGACGCUGAGACGCGAAAGCGUGGGGAGCAAACAGG